RNAcentral lists this ribosomal RNA (497 nucleotides) under uncultured bacterium. RNAcentral describes it as "partial 16S ribosomal RNA". It matches the Rfam family "Bacterial small subunit ribosomal RNA", at positions 28 to 507 of the family's 1533-position model. The record is from RNAcentral.
GAUGAACGCUGGCGGCGUGCCUAAUACAUGCAAGUCGAGCGAACGGACGAGAAGCUUGCUUCUCUGAUGUUAGCGGCGGACGGGUGAGUAACACGUGGAUAACCUACCUAUAAGACUGGGAUAACUUCGGGAAACCGGAGCUAAUACCGGAUAAUAUUUUGAACCGCAUGGUUCAAAAGUGAAAGACGGUCUUGCUGUCACUUAUAGAUGGAUCCGCGCUGCUUUAGCUAGUUGUUAAGGUAACGGCUUACCAAGGCAACGAUGCGUAGCCGACCUGGGAGGGUGAUCGCCCACACUGGAACUGGGACACGGUCCUGACUCCUACGGUAGGCAGCAGUAGGGAAUCUUCCGCAAUGGGCGAAAGCCUGACGGAGCAACGCCGCGUGAGUGAUGAAGGUCUUCGGAUCGUAAAACUCUGUUAUUAGGGAAGAACAUAUGUGUAAGUAACUGUGCACUUCUUGACGGUACCGAAUCAGAAAGCCACGGCUAACUACGUG